This 643-nucleotide ribosomal RNA is filed under the name Nocardioides aestuarii. RNAcentral describes it as "bacterial SSU rRNA". It matches the Rfam family "Bacterial small subunit ribosomal RNA", at positions 232 to 885 of the family's 1533-position model. The record is from RNAcentral. Lineage: Bacteria; Bacillati; Actinomycetota; Actinomycetes; Propionibacteriales; Nocardioidaceae.
CGCGGCCUAUCAGCUUGUUGGUGGGGUAAUGGCCUACCAAGGCUUCGACGGGUAGCCGGCCUGAGAGGGUGACCGGCCACACUGGGACUGAGACACGGCCCAGACUCCUACGGGAGGCAGCAGUGGGGAAUAUUGGACAAUGGGCGGAAGCCUGAUCCAGCAACGCCGCGUGAGGGAUGACGGCCUUCGGGUUGUAAACCUCUUUCAGCACCGACGAAGCGCAAGUGACGGUAGGUGCAGAAGAAGGACCGGCCAACUACGUGCCAGCAGCCGCGGUAAUACGUAGGGUCCGAGCGUUGUCCGGAAUUAUUGGGCGUAAAGGGCUCGUAGGCGGUUUGUCGCGUCGGGAGUGAAAACACCGGGCUUAACUCGGUGCUUGCUUUCGAUACGGGCAGACUUGAGGUAUGCAGGGGAGAACGGAAUUCCUGGUGUAGCGGUGAAAUGCGCAGAUAUCAGGAGGAACACCGGUGGCGAAGGCGGUUCUCUGGGCAUUACCUGACGCUGAGGAGCGAAAGUGUGGGGAGCGAACAGGAUUAGAUACCCUGGUAGUCCACACCGUAAACGUUGGGCGCUAGGUGUGGGAUCCAUUCCACGGGUUCCGUGCCGUAGCUAACGCAUUAAGCGCCCCGCCUGGGGAGUACGG